Molecule: ribosomal RNA, 642 nt
Filed under: uncultured eukaryote
Lineage: Eukaryota
Description: SSU rRNA
Rfam family: Eukaryotic small subunit ribosomal RNA
Source: RNAcentral
UUAAAAAGCUCGUAGUUGGAUCUCAACAGUCUUGAAGCGGUCAACUUUGUAGUUGUACUGCUUUGUAGACUGUGCUUUUGCUGGAGGCUUAGGGGUGCUCUUAAUCGAGUGUCUCUGGAUGCCAGCAGGUUUACUUUGAAAAAAUUAGAGUGCUCAAAGCAGGCUAAAAUGCCUGAAUAUUCGUGCAUGGAAUAAUAGAAUAGGAUGUCGAUCCUAUUUUGUUGGUUUUCGGGACUUGACAUAAUGAUUAAUAGGGACAGUCGGGGGCAUUUGUAUUCAAACGACAGAGGUGAAAUUCUUGGACCGUUUGAAGACAAACUACUGCGAAAGCAUUUGCCAAGAAUGUUUUCAUUAAUCAAGAACGAAAGUUAGAGGUUCGAAGGCGAUUAGAUACCGCCCUAGUUCUAACCAUAAACGAUGCCAGCUAGCGAUCUGCCGCUGUUUUUACUGUAGACUCGGCAGGAAGCUUCCGGGAAACCACAGCAUUUGGGUUCCAGGGGAAGUAUGGUUGCAAAGCUGAAACUUAAAGGAAUUGACGGAAGGGCACCACCAGGAGUGGAGCCUGUGGCUUAAUUUGACUCAACACGGGAAAUCUCACCAGGCCCGGACACUGGAAGGAUUGACAGAUUGAUAGCUCUUUCU